This 499-nucleotide ribosomal RNA is filed under the name uncultured bacterium. RNAcentral describes it as "partial 16S ribosomal RNA". It matches the Rfam family "Bacterial small subunit ribosomal RNA", at positions 28 to 507 of the family's 1533-position model. The record is from RNAcentral.
GACGAACGCUGGCGGCGUGCCUAAUACAUGCAAGUCGAGCGAAGUUUUUCUGGUGCUUGCACUAGAAAAACUUAGCGGCGAACGGGUGAGUAACACGUAAAGAACCUGCCUCAUAGACUGGGACAACUAUUGGAAACGAUAGCUAAUACCGGAUAACAGUAUUUCUCGCAUGAGAGAUAUUUAAAAGUUGGUUAUGCUGACACUAUGAGAUGGCUUUGCGGUGCAUUAGCUAGUUGGUGGGGUAAAGGCCCACCAAGGCGACGAUGCAUAGCCGACCUGAGAGGGUGAUCGGCCACACUGGGACUGAGACACGGCCCAGACUCCUACGGGAGGCAGCAGUAGGGAAUCUUCCGCAAUGGGCGAAAGCCUGACGGAGCAACGCCGCGUGAGUGAAGAAGGAUUUCGGUUCGUAAAGCUCUGUUGUUAGGGAAGAAUGGAUAUGUAGUAACUAUACAUGUAAGAGACGGUACCUAACCAGAAAGCCACGGCUAACUACGUG